AUGUAUGUACAUGCAUGCCCGGUCCGGUCGGUCACGGAGACGAAGCCAGGACCGGGACAGCGAGCGGCUCGAUGGUCGUCAUCAUCUCUGGCUUGGCUUUCUCUACCUCCCCACCACACCACCCCCCACGAAACCAACACCAUCCGCGGCGACCCCUUCUUCCCUUCCCUGAGACACUUCUCCCCAAAGCGAACCCAGCUGAAAAGAAGCGAGACGCGCCGCGCCGCACCGCGUUGCCUUUGUAUAUCGUGGCUCUAUUUAGCUCAAGAGGAGAGGAGAGGAGAGGCGCGCGGGGAGGGGAAGGAGAUCAAAUCAGAUCAAACCGUAGGAAACCAUCGAUUGAUCGAGCAGCGGCGGCGACGCGGAAGCAGGAGGGGAGGGGGGAUGGCGGUGGCGUAUCGCGCGGAGGAGGAGUACGACUACCUGUUCAAGGUAGUGCUGAUCGGGGACAGCGGCGUGGGCAAGUCCAACCUGCUGUCGCGCUUCGCCAGGGACGAGUUCAGCCUCGACACCAGGUCCACCAUCGGCGUCGAGUUCGCCACCAAGACCGUCCGCGUCGACGGCAAGCUCGUCAAGGCGCAGAUCUGGGACACCGCCGGCCAAGAAAGGUACCGGGCCAUCACCAGCGCGUACUACCGGGGCGCCGUGGGCGCGCUCGUGGUGUACGACGUGACGCGCCACAUCACGUUCGAGAACGCGGAGCGGUGGCUGACGGAGCUCCGCGACCACACGGACGCCAACAUCGUGGUGAUGCUGGUCGGGAACAAGGCGGACCUGCGCCACCUGAGGGCCGUCUCGCCCGAGGAGGCCAGGGCCUUCGCGGAGCGCCACCGCACCUUCUCCAUGGAGACCUCCGCGCUGGAGGCCACCAACGUGGAGGACGCCUUCACCGAGGUGCUCGGCGAGAUCUACCGCGUCGUCAGCAAGAAGGCCCUCGACAUCGGCGACGACCCCGCCGCGCCGCCUAGGGGCAAGACCAUCGACGUUGGCGGCAAGGACGACGUCACCCCGGUGAACACGGGCGGCUGCUGCUCGGCCUAG
RNAcentral lists this ribosomal RNA (1041 nucleotides) under Triticum aestivum (bread wheat). Its description in RNAcentral is "partial small subunit ribosomal RNA". The record is from RNAcentral. Lineage: Eukaryota; Viridiplantae; Streptophyta; Magnoliopsida; Poales; Poaceae.